Molecule: ribosomal RNA, 424 nt
Filed under: uncultured bacterium
Lineage: Bacteria
Description: bacterial SSU rRNA
Rfam family: Bacterial small subunit ribosomal RNA
Source: RNAcentral
GUUAGGAAUCUUCCCCAAUGGGCGAAAGCCUGAGGGAGCGACGCCGCGUGAGGGAUGAAGCUUCUCGGAGUGUAAACCUCUGAAUAAGGGACGAAAAAUGACGGUACCUUAGUAACAGCACCGGCUAACUCCGUGCCAGCAGCCGCGGUAAUACGGAGGGUGCAAGCGUUACCCGGAAUCACUGGGCGUAAAGGGCGCGUAGGCGGUUAUAUAAGUCUGGCUUUAAAGACCGAAGCUCAACUUCGGAUCUGGGUUGGAUACUGUAUGGCUAGACGGCUGGAGGGGAGAGUGGAAUUCUCGGUGUAGCGGUGAAAUGCGGAGAUACCGAGAGGAACACCAGUAGCGAAGGCGGCUCUCUGGACAGUACGUGACGCUGAGGCGCGAAAGUGUGGGGAGCAAACCGGAUUAGAUACCCGAGUAGUCC